AACACGUGAGUAACCUGCCCUUAACUCUGGGAUAAGCCUGGGAAACUGGGUCUAAUACCGGAUAGGAGCGUCCACCGCAUGGUGGGUGUUGGAAAGAUUUAUCGGUUUUGGAUGGACUCGCGGCCUAUCAGCUUGUUGGUGAGGUAAUGGCUCACCAAGGCGACGACGGGUAGCCGGCCUGAGAGGGUGACCGGCCACACUGGGACUGAGACACGGCCCAGACUCCUACGGGAGGCAGCAGUGGGGAAUAUUGCACAAUGGGCGCAAGCCUGAUGCAGCGACGCCGCGUGAGGGAUGACGGCCUUCGGGUUGUAAACCUCUUUCAGUAGGGAAGAAGCGAAAGUGACGGUACCUGCAGAAGAAGCACCGGCUAACUACGUGCCAGCAGCCGCGGUAAUACGUAGGGUGCGAGCGUUAUCCGGAAUUAUUGGGCGUAAAGAGCUCGUAGGCGGUUUGUCGCGUCUGUCGUGAAAGUCCGGGGCUUAACCCCGGAUCUGCGGUGGGUACGGGCAGACUAGAGUGCAGUAGGGGAGACUGGAAUUCCUGGUGUAGCGGUGGAAUGCGCAGAUAUCAGGAGGAACACCGAUGGCGAAGGCAGGUCUCUGGGCUGUAACUGACGCUGAGGAGCGAAAGCAUGGGGAGCGAACAGGAUUAGAUACCCUGGUAGUCCAUGCCGUAAACGUUGGUCA
This 689-nucleotide ribosomal RNA is filed under the name Micrococcus sp. RNAcentral's name for it is "bacterial SSU rRNA". It matches the Rfam family "Bacterial small subunit ribosomal RNA", at positions 112 to 815 of the family's 1533-position model. The record is from RNAcentral. Lineage: Bacteria; Bacillati; Actinomycetota; Actinomycetes; Micrococcales; Micrococcaceae.